AGAGGUUUGUCCAGGAACAAAGGUCAGAUUGAAUUCUCUGAAGUUCGGUGAAUACAGUUGGGAUGCAUCCCUGUGAAUCCAAAACCUAAGGUAUUUAGUGACUUCUGAGCGCCACCUGAAUCAGAAUUGGGAUUUAAGUCUAGCUUCCUCUGAAGAAGGGACUGAAAUAUUCAAAAUUUUGCUUUUGUUCAAAUUUAGUUCCAGAUUUGACAGUUUACCAUAAUCUGCAUA
This is a non-coding RNA of Pelobates cultripes (western spadefoot toad), 231 nucleotides long. NCBI's taxonomy places the organism in Eukaryota, Metazoa, Chordata, Amphibia, Anura, Pelobatidae. The record is from the annotation of a GenBank genome assembly.